GAGGCUGAGGCAGGAGAAUCACUUGAACCUGGGAGGCAGAGGUUGCAGUGAGCCAAGAUAACACCAUUGUACUCCAGCCUAGGCAAAAAGAGCAAAACUCCAUUUCAAAAAGAAAGAAAAAGAAAUAAUGAUGAACUAUAUACAGGAGAUUGGAGUAACUAGGGAUUCAUUAGUAAAAAGAGAAAUCUAAAUAAUAUAGGAAAUCACAGAUAUAUAUGCAUAUACACACACACACACAGGUCUAACAUAUAACAGUACAUCUAAUAGCCAUUCCCCAUAGCCCCCAAAGUUGAGAUCCAGAUCUUAUUGGAGGGCUUGGCCAUGGCUCAUUAGAUGACUUAGAAGUCCAUCAUGGUGCUAUAUUAGUAAAGCAUGCUGGAAAUCUGCUCCCUGGAGUGCAUGCCACUAUAGAACCACUGAGGAGGAUACCAGGGGAACCUGGCUGCUGAGCUGCCAUGCACUUCAAGGGCAGGGCACUAGAGAAGCACCUCAUGCAAUAGGAGCUGGCCUCCAGGGAAGUGAGGUGUGCUGCCUAAGGGGCCUGGUAUUGGAGGAAGCUACACAGGAACUCAAGCAUGCUGCAGGAACCAAGAAAUAAAAUCCUUUUUUCCUGCAAUGUCUCUCCAGCUCCCUCUACUGACAAACUUCAGUGUCAACUGGCAAAGGACAAAUAUUUAAAGGCCCAGGCCUAUUUUCACAGAACAGGCAAAAAGGUUGAAUUUGGAGCUGUGAGGCGUUAAAUCUGCAACUGGCACACAAGAACUGGUAAAAAAUAUUUUUGACUGGCAUUUCUUGGGAAAAUUAUGCCCAAACUAAAUUCACAUUUUUGAAGUGCUGUAUUUAAUAAAAUCUGUGCAAAUUCAGUGCCAGGUGGAGAAAAAUAAAAUAAAAUAAAUAAUAAAAUCACAUACUGGGUAAAAAUCUGACAAAUGGUUCAUGAUCCUGGAAAAUUUGCACCAGGACACCCCACUUACUAAUAUUACUUUUCUGUUAUUGAUAAUGGUGAAAGUUACAUGAUCUCAUAUUUGUCACUAAAAGUGGUGUGAUGUGCAUUAUUUUUAAAUGGCAGUUAAGGGCAAAUGCUUUAUACUUUCUUUCUGUAUGUACAAAGAAAAAAAAAGCAAGAGCUUUGGAGUUGACAAACCUCAUUUGAAUCUGGGCAUGACCACUUACUAACUGUAUGACCUCAGGUAAAUUACUUGAUUGAUUUCCUCACCUG
RNAcentral lists this long non-coding RNA (1219 nucleotides) under Macaca fascicularis (crab-eating macaque). Its description in RNAcentral is "lncRNA (ENSMFAG00000059260.1)". Lineage: Eukaryota; Metazoa; Chordata; Mammalia; Primates; Cercopithecidae. The record is from RNAcentral.